Molecule: ribosomal RNA, 253 nt
Filed under: uncultured bacterium
Lineage: Bacteria
Description: partial 16S ribosomal RNA
Rfam family: Bacterial small subunit ribosomal RNA
Source: RNAcentral
UACGUAGGGGGCAAGCGUUGUCCGGAAUCAUUGGGCGUAAGGCGCGUGUAGGCGGCCCAGUAAGUCCGCUCUGAAAGCCCGGGGCUCAACCCCGGGAGGCGGGUGGAUACUGCUGGGCUCGAGUCCGGAAGAGGCGAGUGGAAUUCCUGGUGUAGCGGUGAAAUGCGCAGAUAUCAGGAGGAACACCGAUUGCGAAGGCAGCUCGCUGGGACGGUACUGACGCUGAGACGCGAAAGCCAGGGGAGCAAACGGG